RNAcentral lists this ribosomal RNA (429 nucleotides) under Chloroflexota bacterium. RNAcentral's name for it is "Chloroflexi bacterium partial 16S ribosomal RNA". It matches the Rfam family "Bacterial small subunit ribosomal RNA", at positions 355 to 776 of the family's 1533-position model. The record is from RNAcentral. Lineage: Bacteria; Bacillati; Chloroflexota.
UGGGGAAUAUUGCACAAUGGGCGCAAGCCUGAUGCAGCCAUGCCGCGUGUGUGAAGAAGGCCUUCGGGUUGUAAAGCACUUUCAGCGGGGAGGAAGGCGGUGAGGUUAAUAACCUCAUCGAUUGACGUUACACGCAGAAGAAGCACCGGCUAACUCCGUGCCAGCAGCCGCGGUAAUACGGAGGGUGCAAGCGUUAAUCGGAAUUACUGGGCGUAAAGCGCACGCAGGCGGUCUGUCAAGUCGGAUGUGAAAUCCCCGGGCUCAACCUGGGAACUGGAUUCGAAACUUGCAGGCUAGAGUCAUGUAGAGGGGGGUAGAAUUCCAGGUGUGGCGGUGAAAUGCGUGGAGAUCUGGGGGAAUACCGGUGGCGAAGGCGGCCCCCUGGACAAAGACUGACGCUCAGGUGCGAAAGCGUGGGGGGCAAACAGG